This 618-nucleotide ribosomal RNA is filed under the name Bacillus sp. (in: firmicutes). RNAcentral describes it as "bacterial SSU rRNA". It matches the Rfam family "Bacterial small subunit ribosomal RNA", at positions 65 to 661 of the family's 1533-position model. The record is from RNAcentral. Lineage: Bacteria; Bacillati; Bacillota; Bacilli; Caryophanales; Bacillaceae.
AGCGGAAAGAAGGGGAGCUUGCUUCCUGAGGUUAGCGGCGGAGGGGUGAGUAACACGUGGGUAACCUGCCUGUAAGAGUGGGAGAACUCCGGGAAACCGGGGCUAAUACCGGAGGGUUGUUUGAACCGCAUGGUUCAAACAUAAAAGGUGGCUUCGGCUACCACUUACAGAUGGACCCGCGGCGCAUUAGCUAGUUGGUGAGGUAACGGCUCACCAAGGCAACGAUGCGUAGCCGACCUGAGAGGGUGAUCGGCCACACUGGGACUGAGACACGGCCCAGACUCCUACGGGAGGCAGCAGUAGGGAAUCUUCCGCAAUGGACGAAAGUCUGACGGAGCAACGCCGCGUGAGUGAUGAAGGUUUUCGGAUCGUAAAGCUCUGUUGUUAGGGAAGAACAAGUACCGUUCGAAUAGGGCGGUACCUUGACGGUACCUAACCAGAAAAGCCACGGCUAACUACGUGCCAGCAGCCGCGGUAAUACGUAGGUGGCAAGCGUUUGUCCGGAAAUUAUUGGGCGUAAAGGGCUCGCAGGCGGUUUCUUAAGUCUGAUGUGAAAGCCCCCGGCUCAACCGGGGAGGGUCAUUGGAAACUGGGGAACUUGAGUGCAGAAGAGAGAGU